GCCCAGAUGGCGGAAUUGGUAGACGCGUUGGUCUCAAACACCAAUGGGGAUGACCCGUGCCGGUUCGACCCCGGCUCUGGGUA
This 83-nucleotide transfer RNA is filed under the name Tidjanibacter sp. Its description in RNAcentral is "tRNA-Leu". It matches the Rfam family "tRNA". Rfam says of the family: Transfer RNA (tRNA) molecules are approximately 80 nucleotides in length. Their secondary structure includes four short double-helical elements and three loops (D, anti-codon, and T loops). Lineage: Bacteria; Pseudomonadati; Bacteroidota; Bacteroidia; Bacteroidales; Rikenellaceae. The record is from RNAcentral.